RNAcentral lists this long non-coding RNA (7571 nucleotides) under Homo sapiens (human). RNAcentral's name for it is "HSALNT0305600". The record is from RNAcentral. Lineage: Eukaryota; Metazoa; Chordata; Mammalia; Primates; Hominidae.
GCCUGGACCAUAAUUAGUGCUCAAUAAAUAUCAAUAAUUACCAGUACAAGAACUGGCUUUAUGCACAUUUGUUGAAGAAGAAAGGAAAAUGUUGGGAGAAAAAUAGAAAUCUCUGUGAAUUAUUUGUGAAUUUGGGAAAUUCAGAAUAUUCAUUUUUCUGUAUUUCCAUUCAAGCCUUGUGAUUUUUGUCUACUACAUUUUUCUUUCCUUUUACAGAAACAGAUGUUGUUUUUGGUGAUGUAAGUUACCAGGGUUGGGGGUCUGAUCUGGAGGAACUGGGAGGUGAGUUCCAGCCCCUUCCCUCAGUUUCUCAUCAUUGUGGAGCAGUCUUGCCCUCUUCCUUCGAUCAAGCUUCAAAGCUUCAUGGCAACCACAUUUAAUGUUUAUUGCUAAUGUUAUUAGUUUCUAAUCAGAGCCUACUGCGAUUAUUACCUAAUAGCUAUUGCUUUGCACUUCCAACCAGAUGUCAAAAAUAAUGAGCCAAUAAGACUGCUAUUAAUUUAGACUGAAUGACAGUUUUAGGCCCUCGGAGCUGAAGAUUAGGGGCCUCAUAAAAGCAGGGCACAAAUAAUUCGAGUGCUCAAAAGUAAUAGCAAAAAUGGUGAGAAUGUGAAUUAAUAGGUAAGUGUUUCUAAUUUACAAAUGAAACAUGCAGCUUGAAAUAUCAACACUUCUCCUGCAUUCUCCUGCGAUGAAUGGAGCAGUCCUCAUGGAUCCCAGCCUCCAGGAUUUGGGUAGAAUGGCUCAGAAAGUUUGCUGUCUAUAGGAAGAAGAGAUGAUAUUAGCAUAGAUCUGUUUACCUGGUCCUAUUUGGUUCCAGUGAGAGAAUGGGGCCAGGUCAGCAAGUGCCUAGAAGAGACCUUCUCCCGGCAUCAAGCGUUCCAUGAAACGUGUGUCCAUUUUGCUGACAGGCUCUGGUGCAUUCUGAUUGACUUCCAGAUGCCUUUCCUGACAUGCACCCCAUUGUAGAUGAUUAUCCUCCUUCUAACUCAUGGAUGCUGUCAUCCUGUACACCAUUGGGUAUGGGAUGCUUGGGUUCAAAUCUUAAUUGCAUUAUGCUCUGAGGGUGUGACCUUGAGCAAGGUGUCCAUCAUCUCUGAAUCUUAGCUCCCUCCCCUUUUAAGGUGUCCAUAUCAAUAGCACGUAACUUGUAGGAUUACCACUGAUCAUUGGAAGAAAUAGCAGAUACAAGGAUCUCAGCACAGUGCCUGUCACACCAAUGAACUGGAGAAAUUGUCACUGUUGCUUAAACACUAGGGCUCUGUUUCUCCUUCACCUUGAUCAUUUAUUCCCUCUGUUUAUUCAUGCCUUUAGGUACCUAUUUAUCAAAGCAGGAGAAAAAUUUUAAAAAGUUCAUUUCUUUUCUUCCUCCAGUCCUCAUAUAUUAAUCUGUAGACCCAAGCCUGUUUCAUUUCACUUUGUUCUACCAUUUUAAAGACAAACAUUGUCCAAAGGCAUGCUAUGGCUCCUUUUGGUAUAUAUUUGUUUACCAUGGUCCUGUUUGGUUCCAGUGAGAGAAUGGGACCAGGUCAGCAAGUGCCUGGAAGAGGAGACCGUCUCCCAGCAUCACGCAUUUCUCCAUGAAAUGUGUCUCCAUUUUGCUGACAGGCUCUGGUGCAUUCUGAUUGACCUCCAGAUGCACCAGAGCCUGUCAUAUAAGGGGAUGGGGUACGGAGGCGGAGACCCAGUCUGUGCUACAAUACCUUUAGUGUCUGGUGGGUGUCAUGGAGGAAAGAGGUCCCCGAGUGUAAGGGUGGGGUGAGCAGGGAGCAGUAAGGCUGCAGAAGGAGAUGGUGUCCCGUCUGGCCUGAGAAGAUGUUGUUGGAGAGACAAGCUAAUUGCUCUCAAAUGGCUACCUUUUCCACUAGGCACACAGAUACACUCCAGGAUGGAAUGCAGGCAGAAAUCAUGACCUCCAUCCACCUUUAACUUUCCAAGGCCUGGCCCAUAAACCCUCCCUGUCAGGCUUCCUGGUACCUCUUCCCUGGCUGCUAGCUGGAUGCUGAGGCCCUGGGGUGCUGAGCCACUGGUGGAGUGAAGCCUGGGCCUGAAAGGCUGGGUGAAACAGAAGUCAUGGGAUGGGCAGAAGAUGCUGAUCUAGGCUGAUACCUGGCAAACCCUACCUUGUCCUGCCCCUGACACUGCAGAUCUGAGGACGCGCUGGGGGAGCCGAGCAUCCAGGUGUGCAUUUUCCCAUCUUUGCCUCCUUUGCUGUGCCCCAUCCAUGGAUUCUUCCAUUAGUGACCCUGGGAUUUUAAGGCUUGUAGCCUGAGCACUCACAGGGAGGUGUGGGGACUGAGUAAUCCUCUCAAUUGAGCCUGUUAAUAAAUUUGUCACCACACUAGACGAGGGGAAAUGAUUUUAAAUUGAUUCGUGCAGAAUUUUGAUGUGUUCUGCACAUCCAACUUUGCUUUUGGUGCUCUGGUUAAGCAUUGGUGAGUCACCGGUUCAGCCUGAUUAUUCUUGCUGCUGUAAAAGUAGAAAUCAAUAUUAAUAUUUCCUCACUGUUAACCAUCUCUCUAGAACAAAUAUUUUUUCCCCUCCUUCUCCUUCUAUGACUUUGUUAUCUUUGCAUUUCUAAUUGUGUCUGAAAUUUAUGGAGUGUCUUUUUUUUUUUUUGGUAAAGAACUACAGUUUGUGAUGAUGCUGCUUUUCCCAUCACAUCUGGGAUCAGCGUUUGUAAUAGAUUCUCUUUUACGUUCAGCUCCUGAAGAGCACUCUCAUGAUCUGAUAAGAGAAGAUGAUCUUUGCUGGCCCUUUGAGGUAAUGAAUCCUUUUCAUUUGUUUUCUUGCAUACUUUCUAGGUCAGUGAGUGGAGGGAAUUUUUGUCCAACGUGCACCUUGACAGAGCUUCACUGACCACGGGCGGUGUCUCCCUGCUGCCACGCAGCACACCUCUGACCACAGACCUCUCUCCAGAGCCACGUGUUUGCUUCUCACCUGACAGGCUCUGUGAGAGCCCAUCUGUGCUUCCCUGGGAUGUCUGACCGCACGCAUCCCCCACUGUGCAUGGGAGCCCUGCUGGGCCCGUAGGUGGAAUUAUUUCUCAGUUUUAAUCUGAGUACAUAAUUGAGGCUUGUGCCAGCAAGGACUCCCAUCGCUUUCUUUCCUCACACUCCACACGUAGUGCUGCUCAGUGAUUUUACUGUUCCUCUAGGAAUGGCUCCCACCUGCUUAGAGUAUAAGAUUUAUCUCCUUAGCACACCAUGGGAAGUCUCCUAAAAUCCAUCCACUGCUUAUCUCUUUGGCCUCAGCUCUUGGCCCCCUGUGAUGAAACCCUGAUCUCUAGUCAUGCAGAGGUGCUUGCAACUUUCUGAAAGCUCCUUUCAAAGGUGCCUUUGCCUUCUGUUCCCUAUCCCUUCAGGGUCCUUCCCGGCUAGCCACUGCUCCUGGCUAAGUUCUGAGAGGUUGCAUCCACCUCGCGGGAGUGUUGGCCAUUUUCUCCCUUCGAGGUCCUUAUUGUUGGCCUUUCUCUCUUUCCCUACUAGACUCUAAGCUCCCUUAGAGUGGGGCCUCUGUCUCACCCAUCUCUCUGUGGCCCCCAUCUAGUGUGCGGUCAAGGCUUGCUGAGAGCUGCCUUUUCAUGUGUAUUAUGACAAUUCAGCCCAAUGACAAGUGGCUCACUCCAUCUCCAACACGCUCCUGUCAACCUUCCUUUUCCCUGGGUCUCUUCAGUUUAACCUUUUGUGGGCAUACCAUCAUGCAUUAGUUGGAAUCAGAUUGAUACUGGAGGUGUUUUUGUUUUCCAGAAAUGUCUGGGGAAAGUGUGCCUGUGUACUUUUCAUGUAUGUCCGUCGGAGGAAAAGUUUUCAUCAUUCAUUUAUUCUUGUAUCGAUUGCACAAAAUUGCUUAAGAUUCUCCUCUGUGUGUGGUUCCAUGGGAGCUUGGACCACUUUACAUGAUGAAUAGGACAGAGUAGAGUCCCUUUUGGGAAACAGGCAUCUGUAAAAUGCUAUGGGUACAUAAAGAGCCACCUAAUGGAAAUGGGUCACAGCUGGCACUCCAAAGGAGGCAAUGUCUGAGCUGAAUUGGAAGGAAAAGCAGGCAUUUGCCAAUGAGAACUUGGAGGGUUCUCCAGGAGCAGGGCGUGCAGAGAGCCCAUUGAGUGGAGGCGUGUAGGGAGCCAUGGGGACUUUGGUUUAUCUUAAGAACAAUAUGUGUUUGUGUGUACAAGGGAGGGGGCAGAAUAAGGAAUGGCAGAUAAAGCUGAAGAAGUGAGUAGAGGCCAGAUCACAGGGUCCUGACUGUGUCCUGGAUAAACACGGGGAUGCUGGAGGUUUAAUCAGGGUCAUGGCGUGGUAAUAUUUCCAAGUAGAAAGAUCACUUUGGUGGUGAAUUGCAAGGACUGGCCGAUUCCCCUGGUGGUAGGAAAAGAGGUGACCAGGCUGGUUUCCAGCGGAUCUGGGCUGGGGCUGAGCGUCUGGUUAGUGGUUAGGAAUAAGCUGAGGGAUAAUCUCAAGUCAGGCUCUGCUGUGGGGCAUGUGUUCCCUGCCGAGUGUGUGAGAUGUGAGUGCCUGUUCUGCUGGCUGUGCUUCCUUCCCCUGUCUCGGGGUGCCGGGGACUGAGCCCUGUGACUCCAAUUGACGGCUUCAUUUCACAAAUUAAACAUAUCAUGCUAGUGAACCGUUUCAGAGCCACAGCAUUACAGAAUAAGAAAACCACUGCAGCCCUAAGUCUACAAUGCUCAUGAAGCAAACAAUUCUCUGAAACAUUGACCCAGCACCUCAGAGCUCCCCAUAACAGGUCUACCUCUUUGGAAAGGUCAGACUUUUUAAAGGUUAAUUGUUACCCUUAAGAAAAAUGCAAAACAAACGGUAUGGCUGCAUAUUUAAUAGGUGUUUGGAACAGCAUUUCCCAGAAGCACAAUUCCUGAUGAUUUGAUUUUUAAAAAGAAUGGUCUAGAAAUAAAGUGCCCUUGGCAACUUCUGACUUGAAGAAAGUGAGUAUGCCACCUGUGGUUUAAGGAGUAUUAUUAUUAUACGUCUGAAAUGUCCUCUCCCUCCUCCCCUUUCCCCAAAGAAAACAAACCCAGCCAGACAGUAAUUUGACCAUUGCUAUGUCCUGGGUCUUUGCACAGUGGUGGCUGAACAGCUGAGCAUAGAGCGUCCAGGAGAUCUCAUCCUUGUCUGCCUUCUCUUGCCUACUCUUUCUCCCUCAGCUUUCUCCUCUGCUCCCAGCAUUGACCAGGCACUUGUCUGAAGCCAAGCUCUCCAUCAGACUCCCCAACACCUCCCACAUAGCUUACCGAAGAGCUCUCCCUGGACACCUUGCUGGGCGCCUCAGUGCAAUUUGUCCAAACCAAUUUAGCGCCUCUCUUUUCCAUGGCUCUGGUUCUGCCCUUAACUUCUUCCCUCUGCUGAGCUCUCCUCUCCUCCCUGCACUCAUCUUGCCCCCAGCUUGGAUUCUCCAGUUGUUUUCUCACGACUCAUUGUUCUUCUAGCAUGCUGUCCACCCUGGUGCUGGGUCCUACUGAGCUUUUUUCUCCCAAUCUGUCUCAGGACUGUCUCUUUUCAUUGUGGUGGCCACCACUCUAGACGGAACCUCUCUCCUGGAUCACUGCAAUAACUUCCCAAUUGCCUCUAUUACAGAUCAUCCAUUUUGCCCACUGACACAAGACAUUUUCUGGGAGAUCCAUUAUGAUUCUGCAAAUUCCUUGAUCAAAAUUUUUACUGUUUUCUUACUGUCUAUGGUAUGAAUCUCAGAAUUUCAGGGUUCACUGCCUUUCUACCUUAAUCCUUUACUACCUUUUCUUUUCAGUAACCUUCAUCACCCCCAAGUGGAUGGUCUCCAUUUUCCAAGCUGGCAGCUCACCCCCUCUCUCUGUGCCUCUGCUGCUGCGGUCCACACACCUGGAAUGCCCUCUGCACCCUGCACACGGCAUCCCCCCUCCUUCAAGCAUCGGUCAGAGGCCCCAUCCUCCUACCAGCUCCCUGAUCGCUCCAGUCUGGUGCAUUCAUUGUACCCCCAUGGCUUUACCCAUACUCUGGGUUUUCAUGAACACACGGGCAUGUGCUCAACACCUUCUCCUUCCAGCUCCAGAUGCUUUCCUGCAGGUCUCUACCUCAGCUGGCCUCUUUGCAGGAAAUUAACGGCGUCUCCUACCUUCUGGCUCCCAGUUGCGCUGGGCCAGUGGGGCAUAUCGAAAGGAGAGAGAGAGACAGGGCAUUUAUUCUUGGCUUCUUCCCUGUGUGGUUGCCCAGGCUGGCUGUUCCUGACUGAAGGCCUCCUGGCCUGAUGGAGCUGUCUUUCCUCUUCCAGUGGCUGCUCUUGCCCCUCUUCAGGUGAAGAACAUGCUGGUUUCAGGUUGUGACUCACCCCGAGGGGCUUGUGGAUUCCUUAUUCCCAGCUCACAACGUUGUAGCCCUUUAUUAAACACCCCUAACACGUUCCAGAUAGUCUUCCUUCCAAGACCCCAAGGAACACACUCCAUACACGCCUUGUGCUUCAAAUCUCAGAAUCACUGUGUCAAGCAAGAGAAGCCACCCAGGAAACAUAUGUGGGUGAAGUCAAGAACAGGCAGGACCGACCUACUGUGAUGGAAGUCAGAACACUGGAGGUUCAGUUUUGGAUUGGAGUUGACUUGAGGAAACUUUCUGAGGUUUGGAAAUGCUCUGUAUCCUGUUGAGGGUGGUGGUUGUGUGAGUAUAUGCAAUGGUCAAAACUCAUUGAACCCAUACACACGUUUUAUGGUAUCUAAAUGAUACCCCAAUAAGAAGUAAAUACAUAAGAUUACAAAGGAAAAUAACUGUGUUAAAAUAAGAUUAUUAAGAUGUCCAAUACAAAGAAGAUCCUCGUAGUUCCUCAACACACACAGCAACACACGCAUCAGAAUCCUAGGCUCCAGAACCCCAGAGAUGCACUGUCUGGAUGGACCUCUAACAAAGCAACCCCUGAAGGUGCAGCACCCAUCUUGCCGCCCAGGCAAUGCCUCUUCCAAAGGAAUGUACAACUCUUAGAAACAGGGACAUGGUCCCUGGCACAAUCCUAAGCACAGAGUAGGUACCUAAAGCUUGAAACCAAAAGUCAGCCCUCACUUAACAAAUGGAUGAAGAGUCAAAUAGAUUCUUAUUCUGAGCUAGGCAGCAGGUUAGCUACUAGAAGAGCCUAGUCUUCAGUUUUUAAAUUUAAUCUCGUAAACUCAGAAGACUCGUUGGCUCUUGGAGGUUUAGAUGAAUCUGGCUCACCUCUCAACCCCAGGGGUUCAAAGCUUGUGAAAAAUGCUUUGUUUCUCCAGAGAUGCCCCUGUCUCUACUCCCUUGGCUGUGACUGUCAUCUCACUACUACCUCCAUGAUAAUCUGGGCUCAGAUAUCUGCCAUUUGGGUGAGAAAAUCUGCUCCAGCCAAGCAAUGUGUGCUGAGUGGCUUCAUGAAGGACAUUAGGGUGUCAUGGUGCAGGGUUGCCGCUGACUGUCUGAUUAUCAUCAGCCUCCAGUGUGCUCCCUGCAUGCCUGCUUGCAGUCCACUGACUCCUUUAACUUAAAUCCCAGUGGGUGACCUUCUAUACCCUAAGCAUUCACUUGGGAAAUGGAAACUAUUCAUUCUUCUUCUUCUUUUUUUUUUUUUUUUUUUUU